This 468-nucleotide ribosomal RNA is filed under the name uncultured bacterium. RNAcentral describes it as "partial 16S ribosomal RNA". It matches the Rfam family "Bacterial small subunit ribosomal RNA", at positions 28 to 507 of the family's 1533-position model. The record is from RNAcentral.
GACGAACGCUGGCGGCGUGCUUAACACAUGCCAGUCGAACGGAAAGGCCCUGCUUUUGUGGGGUGCUCGAGUGGCGAACGGGUGAGUAACACGUGAGUAACCUGCCCUUGACUUUGGGAUAACUUCAGGAAACUGGGGCUAAUACCGGAUAGGAGCUCCUGCUGCAUGGUGGGGGUUGGAAAGUUUCGGCGGUUGGGGAUGGACUCGAGGCUUAUCAGCUUGUUGGUGGGGUAGUGGCUUACCAAGGCUUUGACGGGUAGCCGGCCUGAGAGGGUGGCCGGCCACAUUGGGACUGAGAUACGGCGCAGACUCCUACGGGAGGCAGCAGUGGGGAAUAUUGCACAAUGGGCGGAAGCCUGAUGCAGCAACGCCGCGUGCGUGAUGACGGCCUUCGGGUUGUAAACCGCUUUCGCCUGUGACGAAGCGUGAGUGACGGUAAUGUGUAAAGAAGCACCGGCUAACUACGUG